This is a non-coding RNA of Pelodiscus sinensis (Chinese soft-shelled turtle), 235 nucleotides long. Lineage: Eukaryota; Metazoa; Chordata; Testudines; Trionychidae. The record is from RefSeq and is a predicted model, not a curated record.
CAUUGGUUAGAUUCGUUGACUGGAUAGAUUGAUUCGUUUCUGUAUGUGCUUGUCACUACCUACUCCCAGGGUCGUGUGUGCGUCGGGAUGUUGACACAUUUAUAUCUGAUACCCUAAAAGGAGAAAAUUUAUCCAAGAGAGCAAAGGAGAAAAAGGAUGCUCUUAUUAAGAAGAUAAAAGAGGUGAAGGCUAAUUACCCUCAAGAUUUCCAGGAUAAAGGAGAAUUGGAAGAUGA